CUCUCUCUCUCUCUCUCUCUCUCUCUCUCUCUCUCUCUCUACUGCGGCCUCUUCCCUCCUCAUCAUCUGCCUCCACUGUAUCUACUUUUCUCUUUGCCACUGUUUUUGUAAUGGAUUAGUUUUUUUUCCAGUCUUUUUUCUUACAUUUCUCUCCAUAAUACAUCAGAGAGAGAGAGAGAGAGAGAGAGAGAGAGAGAGAAAUUUCAUCAACUUGUAAUUUUUUUGGUCUCAUCUUUCAGUUGGUCCUCCGUGACGCUCUUCAUCGCGAAAGGACCCUUCAUAGCGCCAGUCUUCUUUCAUUACUUUUUCCUUCCCUCCUUCAAAGUUUUCCUCUUUCAUCUCUCAACUUCUUUAUGUCCUAUUAUGAACUAACUCCUUUCUGCUUCCCGUCACUGGAAUAAAUAGCUAUCCUGCCCUUUGUUUUUUUUUUUCUCUCUCUCUAAUCUUCAUCGUUUCAUUUGCUUUAUGUAUGCAUCCUUGCCUUCUAUCUGUCUUGUUUAUGGCGUCAUUCACUCGCCGCUCCAAGAACCAGUUUGUUUUGCGGCACCUUGUGAUUUAGCCGGUGCUCCAGUUUAUUACAGGACGCGUGUUCAUAUUUCUCCCUUGUUUACUCUGCUGAUUCUCGCUGCCGCUGGAUAGGAAUUGUAUUGGACAGUCUUUCUUUUUGAUGUUUUAUGUAAUUUUGGCUGUUAACUCUACUCGCGUGAAGAGAAAAGUCAGCUCGUAUCGGCGCAGUGAUCGGAGAGACAAAGACGAGUCGCUUAUGAGGUCUGGCGAAAAUUGAACCGUCGAUUCUGUUUCAUGACGAUCUGACGACCUCGAUUCUGGGUUAAUCUUGCGUGCCGCCUCUCAACGGAAUUUGUUUGAGUGGCUUUGAUGUGUUUCUCAAGGGAGCAAGGUAUUCAUGAGAGAACCUGGGGCGCCUUCAUUCCCGCUCCCCGCCACACUCGCUAUUAGGAUUAGGACCCUCACUCUCUGCAGCCACGCAAGUUUAAGGCAGUCAGGAGUUCGUUUAUGUAGUAAGCUUAGUGGGAUGCUUGAAAAGAGAAGCUCCAUUCCGGUCACAAGGAAGCUUUGGACUCGAAUUUCCUCCCAUAGAUGCUGAUAGAGGUGGCGGUGAGAGUGGCGGAGGAUGUAUGGCUUUGAGGUCCCGUGAAGUAUGCUGUUGACGUGUGCAGGUGGACAGUGUAUCAGCCGAGCAGCGUGUAAGUAAUGAGCUGUUCAGAAGAGUAGUUGUGAGACAUGGCUCUCACUCACGCAUCGAUCUCGUGUGUGUGUGUGUGUGUGCCGCGUCCGUAACAGACUUAGCACAGCAGCUGUGGAUAGCGACCCUUCGGACCUGUGUAGCGGUGGUGGAGGUUAGCGUCCCUCAGCCUGCCUGACUCCAGCAUCGUACUGGAAAGAUUCUUCCUUACUGCUUGAAAUUAUUUGACUAUUACUUUAGUUCUGCCAAUGAUUUGCAGUGUAUAGUGAUUUCCCUUGCAGAAAAUUAAUGUGUAUACGCUUAUUUGGCAAAAAAAAAAAAGAAAAAAAAAGGAAAUUUAAAUUAGGCAAGCCAUUCCAAAAGUAAUUAAAGGUCCAGAGCAAAAAUGACCACUUUAAUUUACUUCACAGAAAGAACGCGAGUUUUUCCUUCCCUCUUCCAUAAUGAAUGAGUGUUGGACUCAUUUUUCAACAUCAUCAAGGCCUUGGUUACUUAUACGCCGGGGCAGAGGGGAGGAGGGGUAGAUGCCGGACUGAAGGUAGGGGGAGAGGCAGGCCGGGGAGAGACAGGAGACGAGAAAGUGGCAGAAGAGGAUGGAAUUGUGGAUUAGACGCUGAAUGUGACACGUGAAAGGUGACUGUGAGGGAAAUAAGGAAGAGUAGGUGGAGAAGGAUGAGGAAGGAAGGGUUCAGUCACAUGAAAGGUUGGAAAAGAGAGAUCGAGAGAAGAAAGGAGGAUGAGAAGAAACUGUAGUAGUGCCAAGACGUCAGGAAUGGGGAGGUCGGAAGGAGAAGUCGCGGAAGAGGAGAAGCAGAAGUGAUGGUCCGGCGUCACACAUUUAGCGCGAAGAAUAGAAAGUAUCCCACCGCACGUUACGCCCGAGGAAUUUAAGGCCACAAUUCAUCACGGGAAAAGUUCAUUAAAGCUCUGGAGCUGGGCGGGAGGUGGUGCGUCUCCUGCCUGACGUCUGCGCAGGAAGAAAUGAUACGAACUUAUGGCGGGAAGACCAAUUACCGGAGGCGGGAGGAAUGGAGCUUGUCUCGUUUGCUUACAGGAAAAAAAUCUUGCACAAAAAACCACUGUCGCUUAUUUGUCUUCCCCAUGGUCAUUGCCACUCCAGGAAGAAUGAAGGGGUUUUAAUGAGAUGGCGAGGAAGGAACGAGGGGCGAGCGAGAGAAAAUACAGCGGUUGGAGUAACGAGGAGCGUUAGGAGGGUUCAGUCAGGGUUCAGUUAGGGGGGUAAUAAAGGAGAGGAGUGCAUGGAGAUGGAUAAACGGAGAGAGUAAUGAGGAGUAGUACACGUAAUACUGUGGUAAGGCGAGGGAGCUGAUAUGAAUUAAAUAAAAGCUUAGAAAAGCACAACUUAUGAGCGACUAAUGUGAAAAAUGGAAGCGAAUGAAUGAAAAUGAAAGAAAACGAUGCUUAAUAAGCACACAAGAAACUGAAAAGAUUAUUCACCUGAAAACAAAUGAAAACAAGAGGAUCCGUUUGUGUCAUUUGUGUUUAUUACUCGUGAGAAGACUGUCCCUUUUCGUCCCUCUCCCAUCAUCGUCUCCUCCUCCCCUUGCUCCUCCUGGCCUUCCUCCUCUUCCUCCUUAUCCCCGUCCUGGAAUUGGUUCCAUUGAGGGCGGAGGGACGCACGCCUUCCAUUACUCGCAGGUGCUCGGGAGUUCUCGGGAGGCUCAUUGUCCGCCAGCCAAGCCAUCAUCCUCGCGUCACGAGUCGAGCGCUGCCACCGCCGCCCCUCCGCAACUCAUUUUAUUGACAGAAUCACCGCCACUCGCUGCUCACCUCCCACUACCUCACUCGUUCCAUUGCACAGUUGUCCCAGACCUUGGUGGAUUGUACUGCAUCGCAUUUCAAUCACGAUUCAGCGUCUUGAACGUUCCUGUACACAGUUGCCCUAAAUACCGUGUUCAGAAACGCUUUGUUCUCUCAUAACGACUAUUUUCAAAGGCCACAGAGAUGACUUGCUGGGUUCUGAAAUGUAUUCCUCCUGUUAAUUGAAUAGAAAUCCUGUCAAUUUAUUAUUAAUCUCUCUCUCUCUUUCUCUCUCUCCUUAAAAGCUCGUCACUUCAACUAGAGCCUUCUGAAAGUAGUAGAGGUGCAGAAGUGUUUCAGAAUAUGGUCCUAAGUGUGUAUGUACUAUACUGUUCACCAUUUUCAUCAUCAUGUUUCAGACUACAGGUACUACUAUAAUGACAUCAGUUUACUUAAAACUUUUAUUCCUAGACUUCUCUUAAAUAAGAAAACUAGGACGCUUUAGUAAGGAAAAGAUGCGAAACUUUCAUUCAUAUUAGGCCACAGGUAUAGCACAAAGAAUUACUAACUUGCACUGAAGUGGCAAUAGGGAUAACUUGAAUAAACAUGUUUGUAGUCAGGACAAUGAAUAAAAACUGAAGACUAGAACGCUUCAGUAAGGAAAAAGCAAAAACUUCCACACUGCUGCAGGUACAACACAAUUAGUAACGUGUAUUAAGUGGAAAUAAAAAGAAAACUUUAAUAAAACCCAAGUAGAGAUAUAAUUGAACACAUACAAGAGCAGGAUAUGCAAAAGGAAUAAAGAAAGAACAUAGUCAAGGCAUAAAGAAAAGAAAAAGAAUAAGCAAGAGAAAGUAGCAAGAUAAAGUAGUCAAGACAUGAAAAAAGUAACUAAAACAAAAAAACGAAAAGAAUAAGCUUAUUCAAGAGAAAGUAGCAAGAGAAAGUAGUCGAGACAUGAAAAAAAAAAUAAAACAUGAAUAAAAAACGAAAAGAAUAAGCAAGAGAAAGUAGUCAAGACAUGAAAAAAAGAAAGUAGUCAAGACAUGGAAAACAAAAACAAACGAGAAGCAUAAGCUAGAGAAAGUAGUCAAGAUAUGAAAAGUAAAGCCAUGAAAUAAAAAAAAACGUAAAGAAUAAGCGAGAACGUAGUCAAGACAUGAAAGAAUAAGCAAGAAAGUAGUCAAGACAUGAAAAAAUGAAAAAUAAAAUAAACUUAGGAAGUUUUCCUAUUUGAAAAAGACGAAGUUUUAUUAAAAAGGUAAAAAUACUAUAUAAUUUAGAAACUAUAUACAAAAACAUGUUAAACAAAAAAUACGUUAAACCCAAAAAAAAAAAUAAAUAAAUAAAAUAAAUAAAAUAUAAAUAAAAAUAAAUAAAAAAAAUAGUAAAAAAAAUUACAAGGAAUAUUUGACUUCUAGCGAGGCGCAUUGAUACAACAUUUAGGCGCAUUGAUACAACAUUAAAUCAAUAUCAUGAAAUCAAAUACAAAAAUCAAACACAUGAGCGCAAAUAGAUAAUUUGUUAUCAAACAAAAGACAAAAUACAGAUAAAAUAAAUUUUGAUCGUAGCUACAGAUCAAAUAGAAGAGAGCAAGUAGACAAUAUCAUCUACACUACAGAUGUCAAAGUAAAAAAAAAAAAAUACAACGAAUAUUUGACUUCUAGAGAGGCGCAUUGAUACAACAUUAAAUCAAUAUCAUGAAAUCAAAUACAAAAAUCAAACAAGAGCGCAAAUAGAUAAUUUGUUAUCAAACAAAAGACAAAAUACAGACAAUAAAUUUUGAUCGUAGCUACAGAUCAAAUAGAAGAGAGCAAGUAGACAAUAUCAUCACUACAGAUGUCAAAUAGAAGAGAGCAAGUCGACAAUAUCAACCAGACAAAAUAGAUAAAAUAGAUUUCGAUAGAUGCCACAUAUAUAAAAUACAUGGAAUCUGUACCAUGAAAUCAAAUACAGAAGUCAAAUACAAGAUAACAAGUAGACAAAAAAAAAAAAAAAAGUAGACUAUGAAAAAAAAAAAUAUAUGAAACAGUAAAGAAAGAAACACUAAGUAAGAAUAAUAAACUACGUACCAGUUUUUUUGCACGGUUUCGAUAGGCACACAUUGAUACAACAUGAAAUCAGUAUCAUGAAAUCAAAUUGAUACAACAUCAAAUCAGUAUCAUGAAAUCAAAUACAAGAAAAUAAGUAGACAAUAGAAAACAAAAAUAUAAAGUACAUAAAAUAAAUACAAAAGUAGUUUCAGAAAAAAAAAAAAAUGAAAAUGAUACACUGCGUACUAGUUUUUCAGGCGGAGUAAGUGCCCGCUUUUUCAGGCGGAGUAAGUGCCCGCGCAAGCAGUCUGACGCGACACAUAGGACGGAAACAGCGGAGGGGGAAGGUGCACUUCUCGAAGCUCCGAGCUUCCAGCAUUUGGCGGUCCAGGCACGCUGAUGAUGCUGUGAUGCCAUUUGGUACCUCGCCUCACCUCCGCUGACCUCUACGUGCUACGGACUGAUCUUCACAAACCUCCCUUGCUGAGGACACUUCUAUUUCACAGUGGAAAAAAUAGCACGUUACACCUUCAGGCUUGAAACGAGGUGAAUAAAACUUGAGGAGGUGAAGUAACCUGUUUCCGGAGAGAAAGAGGCGGGAGAUCACCACUGAAUGCUUUACUUGUAGGAGUCAGGCGAGAUGCUUGAAGGAAUGCCAGCCGAUCCGUAGGUGUCAUCCCCUUCCAGACAGCGCUGCAUCACGGGAUAAAGCUUAGGCGCGGGCGGCGACGGCGGUGACAGCGGAGGCAGCCAGGUCUGAAUGUGGCCUCGCUGCUCUAACCUUAGUAAUUUCUGUGACCCACACUACAUACAUUGAGGUUUUGCUGUGUGGUCGUGGGUCACUUUGCUCCUUUUUCAGCAUAAAUGGUACUGGAGGGUGUUUUCGACAUUAGUGGUUUCCGAUGGCUGGGCGCGGCGACGCCAUUGGGAGCAGGCGAAUAUUUAUGGAGGCUGUGACGGUCCUGUGGGUGGCUGAUAGGAGGCGUGAGAACCGGUGGAGGAUGCAGCUCCCGGAACCACUCUGUUCACAAAAAGGAGGUGGCAUCCUUGACUCCAUGAAGCUGUCGUCGCACUCUCGAUACGCUGUGAUGGCACUUUUGCAGUCUAAUCCCACAAGGCGGCCUGGCACUACCUGGCACCCAUCAAACAUUGCGUAACAUAAUUUUUAUAGUGGUGUAAAAAAAGAAAAAAAAAACGUAAUAUCAAGUUCCAUCCUUUUGGCGCUGGUUGACGUACGUCUUCUUCAUGGUGAUUCUUCUUAAUGGUGAGUACUCUUAAUGAUCCAUCCUCUUCAAAGAUCCGUCACUUGGAGCAGGUCUUCUUGGUGGUGAGUACCCGAUUUAGUAUUAUUUUAAUGUGAAAAGAAGUCUGUAGAAUGUAUGUUGAUGUCUUGGUACUCUACAGUGUCGAGGUUUCUGUCUCUCUGUUUCAGGAACUUUCAAAGAACUUCCACAGCAUGCACUCUGAAACUAACACUCAUACAUAUAUUUUCAUUCCACAAACAGAGACCAGAAAAAUCCGUUUGGUUACAAAGUUAUGACUGGAGCAUAGGGUAUGUAACGUUUGCAGUUCGUGGCCGACAGAUAGUUAUAGUUUAUUAAUGGUUAUGUCUAAUAUUUAGUUGGUUGGCUGGUUGACAUUCACCCACCGUUUAAUAAUUGUGGAAGCUGACCGGGUCCAUAUUAGACAGCCAGGAACGGGAAGCGGGCGGUGCUGCUGCUUCCAGUGACACACACACACACACACACACACACACACACACACACACACACACACACACACACACACACACACACACACACACACACACACACACACACACACACACAGAGAAAA
Molecule: long non-coding RNA, 6834 nt
Organism: Scylla paramamosain (green mud crab)
Lineage: Eukaryota; Metazoa; Arthropoda; Malacostraca; Decapoda; Portunidae
Exons: 5
Source: RefSeq, a predicted model, not a curated record